Molecule: ribosomal RNA, 490 nt
Filed under: uncultured bacterium
Lineage: Bacteria
Description: bacterial SSU rRNA
Rfam family: Bacterial small subunit ribosomal RNA
Source: RNAcentral
CUACGUGCCAGCAGCCGCGGUAAUACGGAGGGUGCGAGCGUUAAUCGGAAUAACUGGGCGUAAAGGGCACGCAGGCGGUGACUUAAGUGAGGUGUGAAAGCCCCGGGCUUAACCUGGGAAUUGCAUUUCAUACUGGGUCGCUAGAGUACUUUAGGGAGGGGUAGAAUUCCACGUGUAGCGGUGAAAUGCGUAGAGAUGUGGAGGAAUACCGAAGGCGAAGGCAGCCCCUUGGGAAUGUACUGACGCUCAUGUGCGAAAGCGUGGGGAGCAAACAGGAUUAGAUACCCUGGUAGUCCACGCUGUAAACGAUGUCGAUUUGGGGGUUGAACUUUAAGUUUGGCGCCCGUAGCUAAUGUGAUAAAUCGACCGCCUGGGGAGUACGGCCGCAAGGUUAAAACUCAAAUGAAUUGACGGGGGCCCGCACAAGCGGUGGAGCAUGUGGUUUAAUUCGAUGCAACGCGAAGAACCUUACCUACUCUUGACAUCCAGA